GAUGAAGAACGUAGCAAAAUGCGAUAAGUAGUGUGAAUUGCAGAAUUCAGUGAAUCAUCGAAUCUUUGAACGCACAUUGCGCCCGCCAGUAUUCUGGCGGGCAUGCCUGUUCGAGCGUCAUUACAACCCUCAGGCCCCCGGGCCUGGCGUUGGGGAUCGGCGGAGCCCCCCGUGGGCACACGCCGUCCCCCAAAUGCAGUGGCGGUCCCGCCGCAGCUUCCAUCGCGUAGUAGCUAACACCUCGCGACUGGAGAGCGGCGCGGCCACGCCGUAAAACACCCAACUCUUCUGAAGUUGACCUCGAAUCAGGUUGGAAUACCCGCUGAACUUAAGCAUAUCAAUAAGCGGAGGA
Molecule: unclassified non-coding RNA, 352 nt
Filed under: soil metagenome
Description: partial contains 5.8S ribosomal RNA, internal transcribed spacer 2, and large subunit ribosomal RNA
Rfam family: 5.8S ribosomal RNA (bases 1-120)
Source: RNAcentral